GAGUUUGAUCCUGGCUCAGGACGAACGCUGGCGGCGUGCUUAACACAUGCAAGUCGAACGGAAAGGCCCUGCUUUUGUGGGGUGCUCGAGUGGCGAACGGGUGAGUAACACGUGAGUAACCUGCCCUCGACUUUGGAUAACUUCAGGAAACUGGGGCUAAUACCGGAUAGGAGCUCCUGCUGCAUGGUGGGGGUUGGAAAGUUUCGGCGGUUGGGGAUGGACUCGCGGCUUAUCAGCUUGUUGGUGGGGUAGUGGCUUACCAAGGCUUUGACGGGUAGCCGGCCUGAGAGGGUGACCGGCCACAUUGGGACUGAGAUGCGGCCCAGACUCCUACGGGAGGCAGCAGUGGGGAAUAUUGCACAAUGGGCGGAAGCCUGAUGCAGCAACGCCGCGUGCGGGAUGACGGCCUCGG
Molecule: ribosomal RNA, 412 nt
Filed under: uncultured microorganism
Description: bacterial SSU rRNA
Rfam family: Bacterial small subunit ribosomal RNA
Source: RNAcentral